RNAcentral lists this ribosomal RNA (251 nucleotides) under uncultured prokaryote. Its description in RNAcentral is "partial 16S ribosomal RNA". It matches the Rfam family "Bacterial small subunit ribosomal RNA", at positions 525 to 775 of the family's 1533-position model. The record is from RNAcentral.
ACGUAGGGGGCAAGCGUUGAUCGGAAUCACUGGGCUUACAGCGCGUGUAGGCGGGGCGGCAGGUCUUCUGUGAAAGCCCCCGACUCAACCGGGGAACUGCUCGGUGAACCGCACGUCUUGAGGUCAGUAGGGGCGGUCGGAACGAUAGGUGGAGCGGUGGAAUGCGUAGAUAUCGACAGGAACGCCGAUGGCGAAGGCAGUCCGCUGGGCCUGUCCUGACGCUGAGACGCGAGAGCGUGGGGAGCAAACAG